GGGGGGGGGGGGGGGGGUGGCGGGGGCGUGGGGGGCGAGCGGGGGCGUGGGGGCUGGUGGCGCACGGGGGCGUCACGCGUGGGCACCUGCCCUUGGGUUCGGAAUAACUCCCCGAACUGUUUGCUCAUACCGGAUGAUGGCUUCGGCCCACAGCUUUAUCGCCUUUGGAUGGGCCCGCGUUGGAUUAGCUAGUUGGUAGGGUAAAAGCCUACCAAGGCGAGGAUCCAUAGCUAGUCUGAGAGGAUGAUCAGCCACACUGAGACUGAGACACGGCCCAGACUCCUACGGGAGGCAGCAGUGGGGAAUAUUGGACAAUGGGCGAAAGCCUGAUCCAGCAAGGCCGCGUGAGUGAUGAAGGCCUUAGGGUUGUAAAGCGCUUUUACCCGGGAUGAUAAUGACAGUACCGGGAGAAUAAGCUCCGGCUAACUCCGU
This 432-nucleotide ribosomal RNA is filed under the name uncultured bacterium. RNAcentral describes it as "partial 16S ribosomal RNA". It matches the Rfam family "Bacterial small subunit ribosomal RNA", at positions 31 to 506 of the family's 1533-position model. The record is from RNAcentral.